Molecule: transfer RNA, 73 nt
Filed under: Podarcis lilfordi (Lilford's wall lizard)
Lineage: Eukaryota; Metazoa; Chordata; Lepidosauria; Squamata; Lacertidae
Description: tRNA.Ser
Source: RNAcentral
CCCUCAGGUGGUGCAAUGGGUCAGUGCACCUGGCUGCUAACCAGAAGGUUGGUAGUUCGAGCCCACACAGGGA